GCCAGCGUAGCUCAGCGGCAGAGCAGCGGUUUUGUAAACCGCCGGUCGUCGGUUCAAAUCCGACCGCUGGCUCCA
RNAcentral lists this transfer RNA (75 nucleotides) under Verrucomicrobiota bacterium. Its description in RNAcentral is "tRNA-Thr". It matches the Rfam family "tRNA". From Rfam's summary of the family: Transfer RNA (tRNA) molecules are approximately 80 nucleotides in length. Their secondary structure includes four short double-helical elements and three loops (D, anti-codon, and T loops). The record is from RNAcentral. RNAcentral also lists the same sequence under 3 other names. Lineage: Bacteria; Pseudomonadati; Verrucomicrobiota.